This is a long non-coding RNA of Pundamilia nyererei, 1046 nucleotides long. RefSeq lists it as uncharacterized. Lineage: Eukaryota; Metazoa; Chordata; Actinopteri; Cichliformes; Cichlidae. The record is from RefSeq and is a predicted model, not a curated record. The transcript is spliced from 2 exons.
UCUCUCAAAGGGAGAACUUGGUGGCCAGUCCCUUGCCACGUCGAACCUCCAGCCAGUCCACCUUGCCUGCUACCGGAGAUCCCCCUUUGUCUUUGUCUUUUCUUUUUUGCUCUAGGAGCAUUUGAACCCCGAUCAGCCAAGGUUUCCCUCAGCAGUGUGGCAGCAGCGCUGAAUGAAAGAACAGGCAAAUUCAGCAAGGAUUUGGGAAAGAAGAAGCAUCACCUAACGCAGAAAGAUGCAAAGAAGUGAAACGAGAUCGCCAAGACGCAGAGCUCGGUGAGGAAUGUUGCUUUUCACAGCGGGAAACAGGAAGGAAUGUCACAGAAUCUGCCAAUCAGCGCCUAUCACCUCCGUCUAACCUCUCCCGCUCCUCCUCCUCCUCCACCACCACCACCUCCUCCUCCAUCCCUUCCAUCCCAGCUCACUCAAUCAUCCCCGAUCGGCCCUUUGCGGCAGUCAGACUGCGAAGAUAAGCCAGGCCCCGGAGCCUGGCUGCAAUCACAGUGAGUACGAUUAAGAGUGUGUGUGGUGAUGUAUCUGAUUCUGAGCGCAUGAGUAAAGAGUCCUCCACAGCGCUACCCUUCAGCCGCCCGGCCCGCCUGCCCAGUGUUCAGACUACCUGUUCAGGAAGUAGUGGUUGUACAGUAGUCUGCACAUUGGUUAGGCUGGCCGGGGAAGCACAGGACGACUGCCUAAAAAAAGCAGGAUGGGGGGGGGGUUAAAAAAAAAAGUGAGAGCCCUCCAAAGGGCAUUCAGCAGGCACAAGCACAUCAGGCUGUGGGAACACGCAGCUGCACCACCCCUCGUCCAUCUGGACCAGCCCGGGCACGAGCCUAAAUAAAGCACCCAAAGGCUCCACCGCAGAAGGCCUAGCCCUCGCCCAGGAUGGAUUUAUGAGUGAUGGAGAAGUCCUAAAAUUUUGAAAACAGACCCAUCAGGUUGUACUCUUAUUAAGCUAUAUGAUGUUUGUGUAACCAAGACCUCACUCUGCGACUCAGCUUGUGAAAAAUAUUUAAAAAUCGUCACAAUAAAGAGGCUUAAGUUUU